Long non-coding RNA from Ailuropoda melanoleuca (giant panda), 9205 nucleotides. RefSeq lists it as uncharacterized. The transcript is spliced from 3 exons. The record is from RefSeq and is a predicted model, not a curated record. Lineage: Eukaryota; Metazoa; Chordata; Mammalia; Carnivora; Ursidae.
CACUCAGCGGGGUGUGGAGGCGGGGAAGGAGGAGGAGUAAAGGUUGUUUACAAACUUUACGUACAGUCUCUGCCCCAUCCGUAAAGUUCUGGAAUUGGGGUUUACAAUCUUUGGAUCUAGGGGCGUUCUGAUGACCUGGGUUCCAGUGCCCGACUUAUGCCCACCCUGGCCAUAACCUUUGGAAGAAUUGAAGGAUUCCUGCGCUUUGGCCCUAGGUCUUGGGGCAGCGAUGACUCACCGCAGCACCCCCUUACCCCCCCGUGCGUCAAACUGCCGUCUCCGCCCACCCCCAAACAAGCUCAACAGCUAGCCGCAGCUCCGGGCGCUUUGCUGGGGGCUCGAGGGGCUCAACCCCAUGCCCGUAUCCCAGCAGGAUAAAACCUUCCCCAUCCUAGUCUUCAGGCUUGCCUCGCUCCCCACCAGACCCUUCGGACACUUCGUAGAAGAGUGGAGAUGGAUGCGACAUCCAGACCGGGGACACUGAAUCCACCAACAACGCGAGCAGAAGCGGCAACCGAGUGCCCCGGCAAAGUCCUGGAGGUUCAUUCAUCCAGCAGUCUUCACCUCUGUUGAGCCUUGCCCCUUUACCUGGUGCUAGAAGCUGAGGACACAGAAGAACAGGACACUCCUGGAACUCAUGUCUGGUGUCUGGCUGAGAACAGAACAUGCCACUACUCUGUUAUACUGCUCUUCUAUCCGGAUUUCUAUAUUCCGUCAUUCUUCUCAAAUAAAACUUGGACCUGCUUCUUUCCCUUUGAAUGCUGAAGGCUCCGUCUCCAGGUUCCCUUGCUGGAAGGCAUAUUAUGAAAUGGGAUGUACCAUCAGAGAUGAAGCUGGAGCUGUGUGUGCUACACCAACGUUCUGACUCAAUCCUGCUGACGUCUCUUUGCCAAACAUCUUUUCAGCUAUCAGAGUUAGUAAGUCUGGGGCGCAUUUUGAUCCGAUGAUGUAUGUAUAUAGAAGGAUGGAUGAAUGCUUGAGGAUGAACUUCGAAUCUUGAAGGAAUCAUGUGCUAUUGUGCUCUUUGAAAAGCCCGAGGAAUGCUUUUGUGGGGUCUACCCCAGAGAAGGCUGGUGGUGUGUUUGUGGCUAACACCUUGCAAAGGGGGAAUCCGGGUGUUGCUGCUCAUGUUUUCUCUCUGGAGCAAAAACCAAGGUGCCUAUAAGAUUGCAUCAAUAGUUCCAAGGUGUUAUCCAAGCCCAGUCCUGGGUCCACUGCACUCUGGAAAAUGCCUUCAGCAUUUGAGCUAAACCACUGAGAAAGGCAAGGAAGCUGACCCAACUACUCUUUUUUUGUGCCAGUCAUUUAACCCCAUGCUCUCAGCCCUGGCUAGCCUACUGGGACUGGAAAUGGACCACUCCUUCCCUUUCACACUGACUUCCGCUUGAGAGCAGGAAAGCACCCCUUUCCUCUUUGAAGUGGACCCGGAUGCAGAUUCAACUGGUUUUAACUCUUUUUCAAACUUGAUUAAUAGUCCUUUAAGUCAAUUCCUGGUAGGAGGUGGGUCCUGCACACAUAAUUUUUUUUUUUUCGUAAAUAAGGAAGUGAGUAAUUCCUAAGUUUUAGGCCAGGAAGAAAAUCUGGAACUUUACCAAGUUCAUUACAUUUGGGGGGAAAAGCUAUAAAAGGUAUUUUUAAAUAAAUUUAUUUAAGAAAUCAUGCAGAAUUCCAUUAUCUAGCAAUAAUGUUUUUCCCAUUUCUGUUUUUUAAAAAUCUAGUCUUCUCAAUCUUAAAACAAUAAAAGUGGGAUAAUGGCAUCUAAAUUUUUGCAGAAUGCAUUUCUUUACUAAAAAUCUUUUGAUCAUUUUCCUAUAUCUAUAAUUCCUAAAUAUUUUCAAAAACUUGAUAUGCAAUGUCACCUAAUGAUCGACAGAAUCCUCUUUGAGAAAUGCUAUAUAAAAUCCAACCAGGAAAUCUAUCAAGGAAGUUAACAGAGAAGGCUCUAGUAAGAAAAACCUGGAUUUGAAUCCUGGUUCUCCCACUAACCAACAAAAUUAGCAUCAAUAAUACAUAAAUAAUAAAGUCAUAACAGUUAUUCACCACCUACGAUGUGACAGGCACUUUGUGAAGGUUGCAUGUGUUAAUUUCACUUGCUCCUAGAACCCCAUGUGGCUGGUGCUAUUAGUAUUCCUACAUUGCAGAUGAGGACGUAGAGGCUAGGGAAUGUUUCCUGCUUAAGCUCACAAGGUGAAUCAAUAUGAACUUGAUCUGGCCUGUGUCCACUCUGCCAGAUUCAGUUCCCACCCUCCUCCUCUGGCUGUUGGAGACCUGGUUCCCCCCAACCCCCACCAUUAGUCCCUAACACUGGGCUACUUCUCAUUCCCAGCCUUAGCACCAACACUAACACUUAUCCCUCCUCUUCACCCUUUAUGCUUCCCCCUAAAUGCCACUUGCUGCAGGAAGCCUUCCUGGUACUCCAUUACACACUUUCUUCAUUAUACAUUCUCUUCAUUCAUGUGCACAUUUUCAUUGAGGGAAAACUUACAGGGAUUAGUUCUUUUUGUAACUAUGAGUUCAUUAUCCAUCUCCCUUGCUAGACUGAGGCUCCAAGGUGCCCUCGCAUCUGUAUUUCACCCGACAAUACAAAUAAGUGACUCACUAGUGACAAGUCAUUCUCAAUUCUUCAGCCAGCAAUAUGGUCGGUUCCCAUUAGCUCAUUUCUAAACCUGUGGCUUUCAGCAUGACAAAAGGGAAGUAUGAAAGAUGCACGGAAUUGCUAAGUUAAAUUGCAGGACUUUGGGUGACUAACCUUGAGAAGCAGCGGGUUUUGAAAGCCAUUUCAUUCUCUGUUCCUUUUAGAACAGAAGCUUGAAUGUGUCCACACCAUUUUUGCCAAAAGAGUAAGUGGAUGGCUGAGGAGGGAGUGCAUUUACACGGCUUUUCCAACAGCAUGAAGCUUUAAGCCCAUGGAACUGUCCCCAAACAAAAAUUUGGUCUUGGCCACCUAGCUUCUCCCACCCUGGUGAGUCAGGUGGAAGAAUGGGAUAAGUGUCCUAGAGGGUGUUGUUCUAAGGCUUGCUUUCUCCUGUAAGGGGCACUGCUGCCUCAGUUUCCAUGGCCAAAUAAAGGAAAUGGUGCAUCAAAACUUGUCUUGAAAAUUCACGAUGCAAAUGAGCACAUUAGUGAGGCUGGGAAGUCCUGCAGGGGGAAAAAAAUCUUGUUCAUUUUCUCAGUUCCUAAGUUUAUUUGGCCAUGUUUAGACAUAGCAUGCUGUCUUGGGUUAGAUUGUGCCAGAAGCAGACCCUGAGAUAAGAAUUUAAGUGCAAGAAGGUUUAUUUGGGAGGUGAAUUUAUAAAAAGCACCAGAACAGGGGAAAGGAAGAGAGAUUGGAAAGGGAAGGAGGCCAGUCCAGGGGGCAUUCAUGAGAAAUUUACGUUUGGAGGCAACUGAAACUCAGCCUUGCGGGGGACCCAUGGGAGGGGCCCACCACAGAGGUGACCUGUCUCAGGAGUGAGGAAGCUAGAUUUUAUGCACCAGCUCUCAUUAGUCAUGCACUGAGGGCUGCUUUGGGGGCCACUAGCUCCCUUGCACUUCUGGCCUGCUCUGUAUGGUAUCUAGAGAAUGAUGGCAGGCAAAGACUAGCAGGUGCUCCCAAGAGACUACUGGUUGUCAUGCACGGGAACUAUGAGUGCCAAGGGCAGAUGGGUGGGAGAAUGCCCGCUGCACCGGUGUCCCUCUUUACAUUUUCCUUUUUCACACAGGGCACCCAUUCAUUCCUGGUGGAAGUAGUACUUGAGGACCAAAAUUUGGAAAACAAAAUUCCAAAAUUUGGAAUUCAAGCAGUUCAUUGAGUUCCCAGAAGCUAUCCUCUAGCCGAACACAAGGAGUCAAUGCUAUGCUAUAGUUUGUAAAACCCCAAAGGGAAUUCCUGUAAAUGCCACCAAAUAUCAAACAUAUAAAUCUCAAGGCUCAGCAGAAAGAGCCUUGAAAAAUCAUAACUUAUGGGAUGUUACAUCAAAAAGUCUUCUAAGGAUCCAAACUUAGAAUCACGUUUUAACUCAGGCUGUGUGUGAAAGAGAAAAGUUCUCUUUCCCACAGCCAAGGGCACAGAGAAUGCCAUAUUAACAGUGUCCUAUGUGUGGUGACACAGGCUACAUCCAUAACAAGCUAGAGGUUGUCAUAUGGAGGUACAAAGACAUAGAGCUAUGAGGACCCCACUUCUAUGGAAUGUUUUACAUUCUAGCAAAGUCAGACAAUAUAAUAUCAGUAAACCAAGAGAGAAAAUGUUCAUAGGUGGUAGUAAAGGUUAUGAAGUCAUUUAAAAGGAUAAUGGGAGAGAGAGUAGCUGGGGGGAAAUUACUUAAGGCUGAGUGAUCCGGAAUGGCAUCUUUGAGGAGGUAAAAUAUGACCUGACAUCUCCUUGCUUCAGCAGAAGAGAAAGAGGGGACUUCAGGAGGACAGAGCAGCAAGUUCAAAGGCCCUGAGAUGGGAAUAUGAUUGGAGUAUUUAAGGACAGGAGCCUGGAUCACCCUGAAUGAAGGGUAGAGUGUAACAGUAAGGUUGACAAGGAAGGCUACAGCUGGAACAUGCUGGGUGCAAAUUUGGUGUGUUUUUCCAACCAUUUCAUUGUUCUUAAGGGAAAAAAAAAAAAAAACCAACCCAAAGCAUCAGAGAACAUUCGCUGAGUACCAAAUGUUCCCACGUUCUAGAUUUCUGAGAAAUCUAAGGAAAUUCAUCAAAUUCUAUCUCCAGGCAGCCAUCCUCAUGGUCUCAUCUCAUUCUUCAGCAUCUCCCACCAAGACCUCAAAUGGGCUCACAGAUUAAGACCAGCCCCUAAAAGUUGAAUGCUGACCUGCUCUUCAAAGAUCUCAUGUCCCAGUCCCAGAAAGCAAUCAUGCACAGAAAGAGGGCACAAUGUUGCUAGGAUCCACUUCUUGCUGGAAGGAUGUCUGCUGGGUCUAUACCAUCUGAUCUCACCAAUGGCUUCAAUUCAGCCCCUUGAGACAUACCCAAGUGUGGUCCCCUUCUGGACUGCCAUUCACUGACUACAGGAAGGAUCUCCAGUGGCACAGCCAUAAGACUUCCUCAGAUUGUCCCCGAGGAUGAUAUUGGGGUAUCUGUCUCAGGAAUGCACUUAGCCUUGUAAGGCAAGAGAAGGGUCUCUCUGGCAAAGCCAGGGUCAGGAGAUGAGGGAAAAGAAGAGGCCAGAUCCUGGCCUGUGGGGACAGGGACAUCACAACAGAGGGCCCUGUCACCCUGCAGGAUCCUGAACAAACCUCAAUUUUAUUUCACAGCUGGUUCCUGGGCACCGGAUGUAUGCAGACAGAGCAGGGCACUCCUACAGAAGUGGGUAAAGCAUGGGCCCUGCCCUCAAGGGGCUAUCCUGUCAAAGAAAGAAACACUGACUAUUCCUGGUCAUACCAUGCAGAAUGAGAUCAGGGUCAAAAGGGACAUUCAAACAGAGAACUUCAGGAGAGUACGGGGAGGAGAAAUUAAUAAGCUCACUGCCUUUCUCUGGCUUGAUGAUAGUUAACUGGGCUAACCAGAUACAGGUAGGACUUUAUGGCUCCCUUGUCACACUCAUGAGUCAGGCUUUUUUAGCUGAGGAAAAGGCAACAGAGAACUAUUGUCAAGAGAUGCAGGGAAGUGAGAAGGACAGGAAAACAGCUCAUGAAGAGCUCAAACAAUGUCCCCUAUUCUGCAAAAUAACAGCAACUCUGAGGGUUAGGUACUGAGUUAUCUUCUCACGGAAGGGUUCUCUCCCACCCUCACUACCUUCAGCUUGUGCUCCCACUGUUCCCUCUGCAUCUGGGUCCUUCUCUAAAAAUCUUGUUUUUAGCAGAGCCCUAGACAGAUAGUCUGUUGGGUGUGAAGAUCACCUCUUACAUUACACUUAACCUUGGCCAGGUUGCUUCACCUCUGUUGUGCCUCGAUUUCCUAAUCUGUGACAGGUGGAUAUUAAUAGUACCUACCUUAGAUGGAUUUUGUGAGGAUUAAAUUAGUAAAUACACAGAGACAGAAUGAUGCUAUUUCUAUUGUUAGGCUAGGGUUCCCUAACUGUGGCAAGGGUAGCAAGGGUCUCAUGGACAAAAUGCCUAUUUACCCGUUCUAUUUACUUCCAAGGCAGCUAGGGAUAUUAGAAGUGCAAGGUCUCCUAAAUGCUUAGAAUCUCUUAGAUUCUUUUCAUCUGUAUCACAGGCACAUUUCAAAAUAAAUUUUAAAACUUAAAUCCUACCAUAAAAUAAUACAGGUUCAUUAAAAACUAUUUAGAAAAAAAAUAGCAGAUGAAAAUCACAGAGUAGAGGACAUACGAUUUGAGGGGAAUCAGCUCUCCUGACCAUACAGUAAUCCUGCUUAAUCCAUGUGGUUUGCACGGAGUUGACCUUGCUACAGGCGUGGGCCAGUGGACAGGGCAGACUCUCCCCAGACUUCUGCUGGAGCUACUGAAAGACGCUCUUUUCUUCUGGGACCCAUAGCACAUAGGAUCAAUAUGUUUGACGAUUCUGAUGGUGAAGAAUAGAGAAGAAAGCAGAUUCUAGCUUUCUGGAUGAAUAGAAAAAAAGGUGGGAAAUGCAAGCUCUCCAACAACAGUGUGAGGGCCUAGAUCCGGUGGUGCCUGAAACUAUAACAUCUAUUUGCUGGCCAAAAAGUUAUGGUCAAAAAGACUGGCUCAUGCCGGUCUGUUUCUUCCAUACAUUUUUUCACUUCAACUAGUUUUGGCUGAGGUUCUGUUACUUGUAAAUGAAAUCAUUUUGAACAACCAUCCAGAAAUAGCCACAUUUACAUGUGUGUAUACUUCCUUCCAGUCUUUCUUUCUCUUUCAAGCUCUCUGCAUAGUUUUGUGUGUUUUUUUAAUGAGAGGGGAUCUUAAUCUACAAAUUUUAAUACUUUUUUUCCUUCCUGAACCUGUUACAAAAUUUGGUGCCUCUGGUUAGCACCCACGUCUUUUUGAGAGAGGACAGAAGAAAUUCUGCUGCCCCCACCCCCUCCCCUGUCACCCUUCUGCCCCCUGGAAGGUAUUUCAGAGGGCAAGGGGCUAUCCCAUGAUAUCCAUGGGUUGGCAAUUCCUUCCAUGCUCAGUUCUAUAGUGCUGGGCUGGACACCAUCAGCUUUGAUAGAGACUUUGGCCUUAGGUCAGCUUGGACUCCUGCCUGGUCUUUCAAAGCACUUUCCUUUUAAAGCCUCCAAACCCAGCAUUUUCCAUAAACAUCUUGCUUUUUUUUUUUGGAGAGAAAUUCAAGAGUGAGCAUAUUAUAUAUUGAUGGUGGUGGUCUAGAGACAAGGAAUAUGGACCAGAGUUUCAGGAACCCAAAAAGAGAUGUACAGAAUGCAUUUGACUGCCAAACAACCAUUCGGAGCGUUAUUGAAAAAUUGAAUAUGCUGUAAUGACAUGGGCGGAAUUAUAUCUGCGAUUCCUAAAGAAAAUCUGAGGUGAGGUAGCCUUUGCUUUCUAAUUAGCAUGAUCCGAUGAUGCAGGCCAUAGGACAACUUGCUAGUCAUUACGGUGCUUGCUUGUUCUGCUUAUAGCUCAAAACUAACAGCAAAGUUUGUUUUGCUAAUCUCUCCUCUGGAUUUGCGAAUUAUUUGUUUUCAUUAUCUUAAAGAUAAACUGGAAAGAAAAAUCUAACGGAGGGACAAUUUUUAUAAGACAGAACACUAGAGUUGUCUUUGGAUGUGGACGCCACGCUUAAUUUAAUAAAAACCAAAGCAGACCACAUUGGAAGCUCUAACAGAGGAAUGUGUUUGUAAUGAGGGAAGUGCCACAGGUCAGAAAACAAACAUGGGCUUCGAAACUGCGGAUCCUGGUCAUACCCACUAUUUUUAUCCUGCUGAGUGAUUCUGAGCAAGUCACAUCCCCUUCCCAGGUUCAGACUGCUCUGCCUUGAGCAGCAAGCUUACCUGCUCUGCCCAUCUCAGAGGCUCUGAAGAACACAGGAGAUAGUAUGCUUUAGAUGAUCAAGAUUUCUUUUAUAAACACAAAAUGAUAACACUAUUAUAAUAUUCAGAUAAUGCUCUCUAGAAUUUACAGAGUACUCAUGCCUCUAACAGAUGGUGCUGUUAUAAUUCCUAGCCAUCUUCCCCACUCUGUGGAUCACAGAUGUCAGCCGCUUGAGUAGAAAGAGAUUCAGUUUUAGCAUCAGGCAGUCAGGGUUUUGAACCUCAGCGCUGGCUGUGUGACCUUAGGCAAGUUAGUGCCUUCUUUGGUCUUAGAUGCAUCCUGUAGGCAACGGGGAUGAAUAAACAAACACCUGCUACCUGCCUAGCGGCCUGGAACCUUUCUGCUAGAUAGCAGGUACACGUAUGGAUUUACAGUAAGUAGUCACACGCAAGUAUUAGGGUCAAAUAGGCUGAUAGAUGAGUACGCAAUUAUAAUGACAUCGUAAUAGCUGUCAUUUUUUGAUCACUUUCUCUGCCUUGGGUGCCAUUCUAAAACCUUUACAUGCAUGAACUAAGGGAUGCUCAUAGCAGUUCUGUGAGGAAAAUGCUGUCACUCUCACCUUAUGGAUGAGCAAACUAAGGCAUGCAGGGAUAAAAUUUCUUACCGAUGGUCAUCCAGCUAAUAAGUGGCCUUGCUGGGAUAUGGCAAGGAAAGUCUGGAUCCAGAGCCUACCCUGGAAACAUUUACACUGCAUUGUCUCUCUAAUUGCUAACAUUUAGUGAGUGUUGACUGUGUGAGCUUUGCUCUACCAUUCUUGUAAGUGGUUUAUAAUGAUUAACUCAAUAUUCUCAACAAACCUUGAUUAGAGUUAUUGUUUAGUUUUUAAAAAAAUGAUGCCCAGGGAAGUUUGUCAGAUAAAUGACAAAUAAUUUUUUAUUAUAAGUAUGUCCCAUGCAAUAUACAGCAUAUGCUUAUACUAAGAAAAUACUGUUGACCUGCAAUUAAAAUUAAAAUUUAACUGGGCAUUCUAUAUUUUAUCUGACAACCCUACCCUGAGAGGGGGUGGGAACUAAUCUACUUCCUUGUACUGAGUGGACUUCAGAAAAUAGUAAUUUCUACCAUUAUUGGUAUUUUCAGGUUAUCUAUUCUGACAUCUGUUUUCAAUUGUUCCUUUAGCCAACUAAAAUCAGAAGCUAUAUACAUAAAGAAAAUAAUCGUGAUAUAUUAAUAAAACCUUAAAAUAAUAGGGCCUCUAUAACUCUUUCACAGAAACGAAAUGGAGCCUCAUGAUGACCCUGUAAGUUUUAUGCCUAUUUAAUAAUGAGAAACUGAGUCACAGAGCCAUCAAAUAAUUGCCCAAGGGCACACAAAUAAAAAAGCUAAAUU